GCGGACGUGGUGAAGCGGUUAACACAGCGGGUUGUGGUCCCGUCACGCGCGGGUUCGAAUCCCGUCGUCCGCCCCA
This 76-nucleotide transfer RNA is filed under the name Mycoplasma crocodyli MP145. Its description in RNAcentral is "tRNA-His (GTG) (tRNA-His-GTG-1-1)". It matches the Rfam family "tRNA". Rfam says of the family: Transfer RNA (tRNA) molecules are approximately 80 nucleotides in length. Lineage: Bacteria; Bacillati; Mycoplasmatota; Mollicutes; Mycoplasmatales; Mycoplasmataceae. The record is from RNAcentral.